RNAcentral lists this long non-coding RNA (963 nucleotides) under Mytilus galloprovincialis (Mediterranean mussel). The record is from RNAcentral. Lineage: Eukaryota; Metazoa; Mollusca; Bivalvia; Mytilida; Mytilidae.
GUUUUGUAUAAAGUUAGUUUACAAUGUGGCGUGGACACACACACUGGAUUUCUGAGGUAGGACUCAAUUUAUUCUUUUAUUUUAAUCAUUAUUCGUUCUAAAGUGUUCAGUUUUCUGCAACAACGCAAAUAUAGAAUAAUUAUUUAAAUUGUAAUUGUAAUUUUUGACAUUGCUAUUUUGUAAAUGUCACAAGUUAAUUAAUGUUCAUUAUAAUGAAAGUUUAACACGGUUAUAUGUUUUCGGUUGUAGUAAAUAUUCGAGUGUCGAAAUCGUUUGGUAUUUUAGGAACGUUUGUGUACGAUAAUGCAAUGAUGUAUGUAUCUCCAUAAGUAUGUAAAGUAAUAUGCAACGUAUAAGCAUAAAUGUAUAUUCAGCGUUAAAAGCUGUAUAUUGUGUGUAGUAAUUGUAUAAUGAUAGUAUACAAUAAAGUCAAUUAUGUGACUUGUAAAGUAAGGCAUUAUACGAUAUGCCGUAGCUUGUAUUGUGUAAAGUAAGGCAUUAUACGAUAUGCCGUAAUUAUUUGAGUAUAAGUAAUGCAUUAUUCAAUAUGCUGUAAUCUUCUAUAGAUUGAACAUAAGUAGUCGUACUAAGUAUUUGUCAUUAUUUAUGCGACAUGUGUAAUACAUAAACAUAAUUAUGUAUAUUUCUUGAGUAUAGUAUUGUAUUUUAACGUACAGUAUGUAUUUCAAUAGGUCCCAGUUUCGGGCUAGAUGUAUGUAGUUUUGAUUAGUAAAGUAUGGAGAUAUAUUACAAAUGGUGGUAGAACCUGUUGAACGUGCGACGUUCCAUGUUUUUCAUCAAUAGUUUGGCAACCUACAAUAUUUGGAGUCGAGUCUAGACAAUAGGGCAGCCGUAAUGUGUACACCGCUUAUGUUGGGCCAGUUUUGUGUAGUUACCAAAAACCAAAUACGUAAAAUUCCGUAAGAUCGUUACUCAGAUUUCAAAGCUAAAUAUAAAGAAGGA